This 857-nucleotide long non-coding RNA is filed under the name Meriones unguiculatus (Mongolian gerbil). RNAcentral's name for it is "lncRNA (ENSMUGG00000017085.1)". The record is from RNAcentral. Lineage: Eukaryota; Metazoa; Chordata; Mammalia; Rodentia; Muridae.
CUGGGGAGAUGGUUCUGUGAGUCUCUUUUGGAGUGGCUUGGGACAUUGGCUGCCGGCUGAGCUGCACAGGAGAGGGCGCACUUGGGAAUGUAGUGUCUCAUGGCCCACUCGAGAGUCUAGAGCUGUCACACCAGGGCUUCCAGGCACCCCAGGAAUCGGCAAGAGGCACAUUCAGCAUUCCCCACCUGGUUUCGUUGCUCAUCUCUUCAGGUUACAAGAAAUGCCCAGGAUGCAGAUGAUGAAUGGGCAGUACGGCAGGCAGUGAGAAAUGAUGACCAGAGCUCACGUCCUGACUUACGCUAGGCCAGCCACACUUGCCAACCUAUCCCAUCCAUCAAGACAGGGGAACACAAGGAAAGAGGAGGACAUAAUAUAAUGCACACUUGGAUGUAAUCCGUGCAACUCUGACUGUGAUUUAAGGAGAAGAGGAAAAGCAAGAAAAACGCUUCAGCUGGAGCAGGCUGCGAAGCAUAUUUAGAGAACCAUUUCCAUUUUAGUAGCGUGUGUCUUUCCCAUAUCAAAUGACGCGUCUGGCAAACACUAAAGCGCAACACCUUUUGGGGCUCUAAGUGUCUCAACAAUAGAUGAAGUCAUCUUAAAGGGACCACAAAGCCACUUAGCAUCUGGCACUUUGUCUCCACCCUGGUGGGGACAAGAGAGAAGAGUGCUUGAGUGGCAGAGCACGCGUGGCUCCUGUCUGGAUGACGCACAGGGAGCCCUGUUCACCAUGUGACCUUCUCAUUGAGCCUGUGAGGAGAUGACUUCCCAAGUGGGGUGUAGUGCAAAGGUAUUAUCCUUCAUCAUUACACAGACGGUUUCCACAGAAAUCACAGCAGCAUGCAAAACAAAGAAUAAAA